CAGUCAUGGUGGAAAGGGACGAAGCUGCCAAGUAUUCCUUUCCCAAGUGUCCCAAUGUAAAGACUGUAGAAAAUUGUUCCGAGGAUUGUAACAAAUAAGCGAUGACGGUGGGAGAUCCAAGACGCAAAAGUUCUGACAACUCGUGCUUUAUAACAGGGUAUCCCGAUGCGUUAUCUGCGAAGCUCUCGCCAGGUGUAUGAACAUGAUGCUGCUGUAACUGCUGAGCUACAGGAAUCAUAGAACCGUAGACGGCUGGAAUAUUAGGCUCCACAUACUCAUUGCUAUCCUGGAAGUACCCAUUCUCUUCUGCUAGUAAUCUUUGUUCCUCUUCAGAAUAAUCACUGUCGGGAGAAGGAACUCUUCCAGAGGUCGGGGAUUUGGAGAAGA
This is a non-coding RNA of Schizosaccharomyces pombe (fission yeast), 387 nucleotides long. Lineage: Eukaryota; Fungi; Ascomycota; Schizosaccharomycetes; Schizosaccharomycetales; Schizosaccharomycetaceae. The record is from the annotation of a GenBank genome assembly.